AAAAAUGCAAUCGAGGUCACCGCGGGCUGUCACCACUGUGAUGAGCGCUCCAAAAGCACGGAAAAACCUAACUAUCUAAAACUAAAAAUGAAAAAUUACAGAGUAUUUGUUCAAGUGUCUCGGUCUAAAAAACUUUAUUUACAAGGCAAGAGCCCCUUUUUAUAGGGUUGAAAAGAAAGAAGAAAAAUUGAACAAACAGAAAAGAAAAAAGAAAAAAAAAUGGAAAAGAGAAACUUGCUUGCUACGCUAAGCUUCAUCCUACGUGGCAGCUCCGGUCAUCUUCGUCUUCGUCGGUCAGCUCCUCUUCUUUUACGGGCAGCUCCUUCUUCGUCUC
Molecule: long non-coding RNA, 334 nt
Filed under: Vigna radiata
Lineage: Eukaryota; Viridiplantae; Streptophyta; Magnoliopsida; Fabales; Fabaceae
Description: long non-coding RNA (VRAD_LNC018099)
Source: RNAcentral